GACGAACGCUGGCGGCGUGCUUAACACAUGCAAGUCGAACGGAAAGGCCCUGCUUUUGUGGGGUGCUCGAGUAGCGAACGGGUGAGUAACACGUGAGUAACCUGCCCUUGACUUUGGGAUAACUUCAGGAAACUGGGGCUAAUACCGGAUAGGAGCUCCUGCUGCAUGGUGGGGGUUGGAAAGUUUCGGCGGUUGGGGAUGGACUCGCGGCUUAUCAGCUUGUUGGGGGGGUAGUGGCUUACCAAGGCUUUGACGGGUAGCCGGCCUGAGAGGGUGACCGGCCACAUUGGGACUGAGAUACGGCCCAGACUCCUACGGGAGGCAGCAGUGGGGAAUAUUGCACAAUGGGCGGAAGCCUGAUGCAGCAACGCCGCGUGCGGGAUGACGGCCUUCGGGUUGUAAACCGCUUUCGCCUGUGACGAAGCGUGAGUGACGGUAAUGGGUAAAGAAGCACCGGCUAACUACGUG
Molecule: ribosomal RNA, 468 nt
Filed under: uncultured bacterium
Lineage: Bacteria
Description: partial 16S ribosomal RNA
Rfam family: Bacterial small subunit ribosomal RNA
Source: RNAcentral